AACGAACGCUGGCGGCAUGCCUAACACAUGCAAGUCGAACGAUUGCCUUCGGGUGAUAGUGGCGCACGGGUGCGUAACGCGUGGGAAUCUGCCCUUAGGUUCGGAAUAACAGCUGGAAACGGCUGCUAAUACCGGAUGAUAUCGCGAGAUCAAAGAUUUAUCGCCUGAGGAUGAGCCCGCGUUGGAUUAGGUAGUUGGUGGGGUAAAGGCCUACCAAGCCGACGAUCCAUAGCUGGUCUGAGAGGAUGAUCAGCCACACUGAGAGUGAGACAGGGCCCAGACACAGAAGGGAGGAAGAAGGGGGGAAUGUGGGACAAGGGGGGCAACGCGGAGACAGCAAUGCCGCGUGAGUGAAGAAGGACUUCGGGGUGGAAAGCGCUUUAGGGGGGGAAGAAAGCGCAUAGGCUAAUACCCUGUGUCGAUGACGGUACCGGAAGAAGAAGCAAAGGCUAAAUACGUG
Molecule: ribosomal RNA, 460 nt
Filed under: uncultured bacterium
Lineage: Bacteria
Description: partial 16S ribosomal RNA
Rfam family: Bacterial small subunit ribosomal RNA
Source: RNAcentral